Molecule: ribosomal RNA, 431 nt
Filed under: uncultured bacterium
Lineage: Bacteria
Description: bacterial SSU rRNA
Rfam family: Bacterial small subunit ribosomal RNA
Source: RNAcentral
UACGGGAGGCAGCAGUGGGGAAUAUUGGACAAUGGGCGAAAGCCUGAUCCAGCAAUGCCGCGUGAGUGAUGAAGGCCUUAGGGUUGUAAAGCUCUUUUACCCGGGAUGAUAAUGACAGUACCGGGAGAAUAAGCUCCGGCUAACUCCGUGCCAGCAGCCGCGGUAAUACGGAGGGAGCUAGCGUUGUUCGGAAUUACUGGGCGUAAAGCGCACGUAGGCGGCUUUGUAAGUUAGAGGUGAAAGCCCGGGGCUCAACCCCGGAACUGCCUUUGAUACUGCAUGGCUUGAAUCCAGGAGAGGUGAGUGGAAUUCCGAGUGUAGAGGUGAAAUUCGUAGAUAUUCGGAAGAACACCAGUGGCGAAGGCGGCUCACUGGACUGGUAUUGACGCUGAGGGUGCGAAAGCGUGGGGAGCAAACAGGGAUUAGAUACC